RNAcentral lists this long non-coding RNA (39319 nucleotides) under Lactuca sativa (garden lettuce). RNAcentral describes it as "long non-coding RNA (LSAT_LNC007891)". Lineage: Eukaryota; Viridiplantae; Streptophyta; Magnoliopsida; Asterales; Asteraceae. The record is from RNAcentral.
GAAGUCAAAACAUGCAAAUGUGAAACACAAGAAUAAUACUAAUCCCAUAUGGCCUCAAACCUUUGAGUAUAAAUAAAACACCUUUUAUUUAUCACCAUAUUGAUUACUCAUUAUUUGUCGUUUCGGGUAAUCAACUUCUUACUUGAAUUAUUACACUUGUCCCAUGCUCUUAGCAUGCACACAAUGUUUACCUAUGGUUCUUACUUUGUGAAAUAGAUCAAAUUGAACACAUUUCCAAUCAUUCUCAUUUCACAACUCCAAAUCCUUUUUCAUAAGUGAAAGAAUAUCAAAUUCUUGCUACUUAUAGAAUAUGCUAGAUUCUAACAUUUUAUGCAAUGAUCCUUUCGUAAUGUCACUGCACCAAAGUCACAAAGACUAUUGCCAAUGAUAUUACAAAGUCCUCUAUUGGAGAUUGUUACAAGACAAUUCCAUAGACGUGAUGUCUCUCACUCAAAGUACAUUCUUUGAACAUCCUUUUGCAUAGAAGUUUCUAAUCUAGUCAUAGAUUUCUCAAUAUUCAAUUCCCAAUAUGGACACACUUCCAUAUGUUCCAUAUGACAACUCAUUCUUAAUAGAAUCUUAUCUAUUCGUAAUGAUGUCGAUAUGGUCCAUCCAAUAUGGAAACAUUUCCAUAAUUUCCAAAUGACAACUCAUUCUUAAUAGAAUCUUUUCUAUUCAUAAUAAUGUCGAUAUGGUCCAUCCAAUACCAUGCUUCCAACUACUCACAAGCGACCAAUCCUCGUCAAACUUUGGAUUGUCCUUUGAUAGUUGUUUAAUUAUUUUAGUCAAAACCAAUUCUAGUCCCUUUUCCCUCUAAAUGCGCUCGACAUUUGGAAAAUUUUAGAAUGGUCAAACAUUAAAGCAUUUGCAAUCGAUCCUAUACCCGAAGCGUAUGGGACACGACGCAUAAUGUUUUAUUUGCUAUGUUCUCAAAAUUCGAAUUGUGAAGAGGAAUGCCGUAAUCAUAAUCGAAAUUUUAAGAACACACUAUGUACCUUUGACUAAAUUUAUUAACAUUUCUCAACCUAAUCCUUUAGAUUUGAAAUGAAGCAUAAUAUUCUCUCCCUUAAUUAUAGCAAAACAACUUUACAACCCUUACGACUUUGCAAGGUAUAACUCUUGUUUUCUAUAAUUAAUAUUGCCAACUUGCAAUACGUGCCUUAAUAAUCAUACAAUCAUAACAUUUAUGCUCCCACUAUCAUGAUGAUUAUUAUAAAACAUAACACUUAUGCUCCCACUAGCUUCGACAUGUAUUCAUAAACAUCUUAACUUUCAGAAAAACAAUACUUAUUGAAUUUCUUAAGUUCAUGUUUCUAAUACUUAGUGCUUUGAUAAUCUUUUAUCAAGGCUUCUUGAACUUAUACACCUUUGCCUUAGAUAGUUCAUAUGUGUGUCUAAACAAUUACCAAACCUCACAAUUCAAAUUAUGGAAAGGGAUACCGUAACCAUAAUCGAAUUCGAGAAUGCAAUUUUACAAUCACUAUCUUCUUAAAAUCUUUCUUAGUGAAAGCAUUUCCUCACAAUCAUUUUCAUGAAGGAGGAAAUCUUAUGACACUUAGAUUUAAACGGUGUAUGUGUUCCUAUCCAUGUGAAUUUGUUAAAACCAAAGUUUACGACAAAUUCAAACUCAUAUGGACCGAACUUUCUUAAUCUUGAUUUCUUGCCUUAUGGUAGCACAGCUGCCCACCAUGUCUUCCAAGUAGUUAAGCAGCUCACCUUUUCCUAUCAAUGUACCUUUCAUUGAUUAAGGUGCUUUGCCUUUUAUGCGUUCAAAAUGAGAACUCAUAGAACUCACAUGCAUAAUUAACUCGAUUGGAUUGGCACAGAAUCAAAAUAAUGUCAACACGAUAGGUUGUAAACCUCAACUCGUGUGCUAGUGAUGAUCGAUAAGGUUUAUUUGAUUUGUUCUUGAAACCUUUCAAGACCAUUAAGACUCCCACUGACUCCUUGACAUAUAAGAUUCUCUUGUCAAUAACCAUUUCUUGACAAACAAAUAUUCAAGAGUUAGUGUAGCUUUUAUCAAAACACUUCAUAAAUUGGUCCUAGUUGGUCUUUGUCUUAUCCAAGACAUCACAACUUUCCACAUUUGAUGAAUGUUAUAAACCUUCUUAAUACUUUUCACUCAAUGUCACAAUCUUAACUUUAAGACUUGUUUUGGAACGAAGUAUGAUUGACUUUUUGAUUUAACCAUUUCUUCAAUUCUUGAUUCCUCUUCUUAGACAUACAAUUGUACUAAGACUCACUUAGAGGAUCAAUUGAGAUAUGGUUCUUAAUCAUUAAGACCUAUCAUAAAGCAUAAAAGGUACUCUCCCUUCUUCUUAGAAUGGAGAAACUUUUAUCUUUCUGCCUACUUGAUUCUUCUUAUUCGUUCUGCUAUUGAUUUAAACCUUUUAAAUCAAUUCAGAAUUACACUUAAUCUUAUAAGUAUAAUCAUAUUUACUAAACCUUUAGUAAAUCAUGACGAAUAUCUUUGUUACUCUUAUGGUGGACUUGAUCAACACGCAACUUUGUGUACUCGAUCUCCUAGUCCUUCACUUGACACUUUGUCAAUGAAUUAGUCUAAUUUCCAAAUAUGAAAUUUCUCAUUCAUCGUGCAACCAAGUUGCAUGAUUCCAAGUUUCUGUCCAAUUGAAACUUGGGCGAUGAGAAACUCUCCCUAUUUGGUAAAUUCUCGACUUUCCAUAAAUAACAUAAUAAGAACCAAAUCCAUUAUUGCUAAUAAUAGAAACAUUCAAACAUCAAUUUUUCAUAUACGCCAUUGCAAGGAUAAAUAAAUAAUAUAAAAUCAAAAUUUAUUUUAUUGCGGAAAAAUUUUGUCCUUACAAUGCAAUUCAUUGAAAAACUAUGCUAAUACAUCUUUCUUAGCAAUCUAAUUCUAACUCUAAGUAGUAGCUCAAGAAUCUAAUCUUCGAGAAAUGCGAUCGAAAUCCAUUCCUUCACGGUUAGAUUCUGCUCACUUCUUCCCUUAAGCUUCCUUUCUUUUCUUCGAUCCUACAAAACAUCAAUUGUAAUCUUAUCACAUUAUGUAUUAAGAAUCUAGAAUAGAAGCUUAAAAGAGUUAGUUAAUGGAUUUUACCUAUAUUAGAGCCAUACGUUUCGACUCUCCCAUCUCUUAGAUCUCUUAGGUAAAUGGGGCAGCUUCGUCUCCAAUGCCCUUUCUCUUGGCAAUAAAAGCAAAUUGACUCUUUUGGAACAUGACAUGGAACUACUUCAGACAUUGCCUUUCUCUUAUGAUCAAACUUUUCGAUCAUAGCAUGUCUUUCGUUGCCAUUGUCUAUAUCCAUAGAGGUCUUGAAGGCAGAUUCACCAAUCAACUUUGCUUUUCUAUUGCGCCAAACCAUUGCUGAUUCAGCAGCAAUAAGCAUAUAGGUGAGAUCUAUAAGGGUCACGUCGCGGUUCAUCAUAUAGUACUCUCUUACGAACUCACUAUAUGAGUUAGGAAGUGACUGAAGAACCCAAUCAACAGCCAUUUCCUCACAGACAACGGAUCCCAACAUUCUUAACCUAUCAAUGUGUGACUUCAUCCCUAGGACGUGUGCACACACCGACUUUCCUUCUUUAUGUUUACUUGCCAAAAGGGCUUGAGUGAUCUUGAACUUUUCAAGCCUUUGAACUUGUGGGUUAGGGAGAAUAAUUGGAGGAGGUGGAGGAAGUGAAGCAUGAUUUCUUGUUCCUCGAUCGAAUCGUGGAAUAUCAUCUUCAUGUGGAAAGCUUGUUCCACGGGAUUUGGGAAGACCAUAGUUGUCGAACUUUGACAUCUACAAAACGGGAGAAAACGAAUUCAAGUUAGUUGAUUGAUUGAGUCCUUAGUAAAUCACCCAAAUGAGAUACUAAGGCUAGGACCCAACACAAUAUUCUACAACUCGGGAGAGGGAUGCCGUAACCCAAAUUGCAGAACAUUUGAAGGUAAGUGAAUGACGAUUCACUAAUUUCCACCAUGAAAAACGAAAAAGAAAUUUAAGUUUUAAAUCUAUGAAAACUCCUAGAUCCUUUGAGAUUCAUUGAACAUUCAAUGGCAUGUUUAAAUCUCGAUAUGCCCCUCUUGUUUGUGACUGGGAUGCCGAGGAUCACAAAGCGGGUGUGAAUAACCAUGCAAACUUACAUGGUGCCCUCACAUGUUACAGUCACCUAUUCGAUGUGCCGGUAAACCACACACGCUCCACCGAACUAUGACAAACAUUGAGUCACCCUUUGCUACCUUUGCUUAGAACCAUUUAGUGUGCCGGUAAACCACACACGCUCCACUAACGUCUUCGCAAGGGCACAAAGUGUAAUUUCAUGGAAUUGCAUCAAUUCACUUUUGCCUAAGUAACUAAGAUUGGGAAUUUUAUGAAAACAUUUAGUUACUUUUAUAAUUCAUUAUACUUAUAAUGGAAGGUUUCGUCCUAUCCUACCCGUUCGGCUAACGACCCUCCACUAGUCAAGAGUGCGGUGGGUAAGAGUGGAUACCCAUUCAAUCGCCAUUUUAUAGGCAAUUUCCUUAAACACCCCUUAUAGACCAGCUUCGUGAAUGAGGCCUACUAACGGUAAGACUGACUUUUACUCAUACAUAUAUAUAAUGUUAGACUUUUAAUGUUAUAUAUAGUAUAGGGUGUAUUUUACACUUUUAAAAUACUAGGUGGUCAAAUUUAACAAUUAUACUUUUAAUUCAAUUAAAUUGUAAACCAAAACUUUUAAGGAUUUAUUAAACCUCUUUUAAUUAUACACCUUAAUUAAUUAAUAAAACCAUAAGGGUGUGAUUUGAACUUUUCAAAACAAUAUGAGGGUUUUAGAAUUUAACAUUCCUAGAUUAACUUUUAAUCAACCUUUAAAUUCCAAAACUUGAGGGCAAGUAUUGAAACAUUUCAAAACAUUUAGGUUUAGAAUUCAAAUAUACAUUAAACUUUUAAUCAAAAUUUAAAUUCCAAAACUUGAGGGCAAGUUUUGAAACCUUUUUCAAAACGUUAGGGUUUCAACUAUUUAAAUUUCAAAACUAAACUUUUGAGUUCAAAUUUAAACUAUAAAACCUAAAGGGGAAAAUUGAAACUUUUCAUAACACAAGGAUCAAAUAACAAAUAAUAUAAAUUAAACAAUUAAUUUCAUCAUUAUCUAUAUUUGACCUAAUUUCAAUUUCUUGCAAAAUAAGUUACCCAAUUAAUACAAAUAAUCCAAUCUUUAUCAUAUAAGGAAGUUAUUAUCUAAUCAAUUGGUAAUUAUCUUGUGUUUUGGCAAGGAUAUUCUUUAAGAAACAAUAAAAUUCGUAUUUUAUAGGUUUAAAACGAAUAUGGUAAUUAUCCUUAAGCAAAUCAGCAACAAAAUCCAAAGUUUCCUCUGUCUGACGCUCCGACUCACCGAGUCACACUUUGGAACUCGCCGAGUAGGGCUGACUCGCCGAGUCCAGGUAGUGACUCGCCGAUUCAGGUCGAACAGUAAGCCAGAAUACGAUUUUCAGCAACAUAAUGCAUCAAUACAAUAGAAACCAAUCUAGGCUCUGAUACCACUGAUGGGUUUUAAUCAUAAGAACAUCCUAUGUGCUCAUACAAACCCUAAUGCUUGGAUCUAGGUUUCUCUAUUGUACAUGCACUUUAUCCAAGACUAUAAACCCUAGAUCUAGCAUAUGAUAAUCAAUAUAACAUAUAAUUAGGGUUUAGAUCAUACCUUGAUUGUUAUGUAGCAAUAACAAUCUCAAAUCCUCCUUGUAAUGACUUUAGAAAGCUUAGAGUCACAAAUGUCACUCCUCUAAUGGUUCACAAACACCAAAAGCAAGAGGAUGAAGAAGAGAAGAGAAGGAGGCUCUCAAAAACGUGUGGAAACCCUAGAAGGAAGCUUGUCCACAUUUUUGGGGCAUAAGGGCUCUAUAUAUAGUGAGGCUAUUAGGGUUAUCUAACAAGGAAACCCUAAUUUGGAUGCUUAAGCCUUAAGCAACCCAUGGACUCCUUUCCUUAAAGGCCUUGGACGAUUUCUAAUGGGUUUCCCCAUAGAAUUCGUCCAACCUUAUAAUAUAAGGCAAUCCAUAGCCCAAUUGCAAUUAUCUUAUAAUUACAAUUCCAAUCCCUUAAGUUUAAUUAAUCUCUUUUAGUCACAAACAUAAUUCUUAUUAAUUCUUGACUAAUAUUAAUUAAACAAUAUGAUUUAUCCUUUAAUAUAUUAUUCCCAUAAUAUAUUAAUAAAUCAUAUUUAAUCCUUUCUCUCCAUAAUUCAUCCUAUCAAGUUGCUUUGGUGAAGGCAACCCAAAAGGACCAUGCACCUUCGGGUCAAGUACAUACCAAAAUAGUUAUGGACUUAGACACUAAUCCAACAAUUAGAACAUGGAGGAAGGUAUAUUUCGUUCAGAAACUUGACUCUAAAAGACUUGAGUCUAGGCAGUGCAUCAUAUGAUGAGAGGUCAUUAGAACAUGACCCAUCAGUCUAUUAUGGUAAUCGAAGGAAAAAACUUAUCCUAAGUUUGUUAAGAAGAAGAAGGAGUCUUGUAACAUCCCAUUUUAAGGAGGUAAUUAAAUAAUCAUUCAGGAACCCCGGGAAGUCAUUAUUAUUAUUAUUAUUUUAUAGUAUUAGAGCUCAAAAAUCAAAUAAUAAAUAUUAGGAUAUUAGUUUCGGGGAUUAGAGAAUGAUAUUGGAUUUAAUUUAAAAGGAAAUGAGGUGGAUGGGCUGGUUAUGUCAUAGUUAUGAUAUUGGGGAUUGUUUAGUAGUUUAUGGGACUUAACUUGUAAGGGAUUUCCAUGGAUUGGGUUGAAAAGGUAAAUUUGGAUUAUUUUGAGAGAAUUAUGGGGAGGAGGGGCCAUUUUGGUUAUUAUGGGAUACUUUUCUUAUGGGGUUCGGGGUAUUUAAAUGUAAUAUACCCGUCACCCUCAAAACCUAACCCUAAUUAUUUGUUGCGGUCGUCACCUUCCACACCUCCUUUCCCUCCUGCCGCCACCACUUGACACCCUUGAUGUUCUGAUCGAUCAUGAGCUCCGACGGUAUCCACUCGAUUGGAGACGCCGAAGACCGAUGGGGGUUGCGGGUGACCUUCGGGUGUUUCCGUAUUCUCACUUCCCGCCGCUAUCGCAUCAUUUAUAUGGAGGUUGGAGUGCCACCGCCGCUGCAAACGUUAUCGAGGAUUCCCCCGACGAAGCUGGGUGCGCCGCUGCGACCUCUCCGUUAUCCUUCUAUCUUCUUCUUCUCUCUUUUCUGCCACCGUUCACAACCACUCUCGGCUGUUAGCAGUACCAUUAUGAUUACCGUUUCCCUUGAUGUCGCCGGCACCGUGAGCCGCCUUGGUGGCUGGAGUGUAUUCUAAAUCGGAUGUGUGUGUUGUAGCUGUGUCUCGCAAAUUAUUGGUGCCUUGGGUUGCUGCUGCCGGAGAAAAAUCAAGGAAAAACCACCAUGGCUGCCGGCUAUGGUGGCUGCCACCUCAAGGACCACCAUAGAGGGUGUGUAUGCUUCUGUAGGGUGUUAUUUUAUGUGGGUGUGGUUAUUAGUGUUAGUGUGUCUGUUAAUCGGAUGGUAUUGUAAAUUGUAACAAGUGAAAUAAUGAAAGAAAAGCUCAAAGCAUCACCGUAGGGUGGUGGCUGCCGCCUCNCCGGCCGCCAUGUCGGGUGGCGGUGUGCCUUGUUUGGUUUGUGACUCGUUUAGAUGUUGGACAAGGGACUACUAACCCUAGUGGGCCCAAAGAGACCCCAAUGGACCCAAUAAAACCAUAAUGAGCUUGAUGAUAUGCUAGUGGGUCUAAUAGGCCAAAUAAAGACCUAAUUGACCUAAAAGCCCAACAAGUUGAUAAAUGGGCUAGUAGUUGGGUUGGAAUUAGGGUUUGGAAAGCCCCAAGAGCAUAAAACCCUAAUUGUGGGAAUUGUUUGGGACACACAUGGGAAUUAACUAUUAAACUUAAAAUAAUAAUUAAUAAUGAUUGGCCAACUAACUUAGCAAUAAUGGACUUAAUGGAUUAAGUCCUUAAGGAGUUAAGUAAGAAACACUUAACCCUAAUCAUCAUUUCAUGUGAAAGCCCCAAUCUCAUUCGGGCCUUGAAUUGGGACUUCCUAUUGGGCUUUGGCGAUUGGACUAUUGAUGGGCCAUCCAAGAACAAGUUAAUGCAUCAAAGUAAUUAGAUGGGCUUUAGGAUAAGGCCCAUGUGAGGACUUGGGCCCAAUUUGGAAAAUUAGGCCAUAGAUGGGCCAUAAUUGGACCUUUUAUGAUUAUGUUGUAAUGGGCCAUGGGAAUUGGAGCAGAAUAAUUGGAUGGGCCUUAAGGAAAGACCAUGUAGAGGUCUGGGCCCAAUUUGGAAAAUUGGGCCAUAUGUUGGGCUUUGGCCCAUUACUUGACUAUUGAGCCUUUAGUGUGUGAGUUGGACUUUGGUCUUUGAACCCAAUUAUUAAUUGGGUGUUGCUUGAUGUUGGCAGCUCGGGAAUCUGUCAACCAGCAGCUGGAGUUUUAUCUGCAGGACUUCAGUAGUGCCAGGUGAGUUCUCCUCACUAUAUCAACAGGGUCUAAGGCACCAAGGCUGACCCUUUACGGAUUGUAUUCGGAUUAUUGCAUGUUAUGCUUACUGAUUUAUAUCCUGGUAGUUAGAAUGGUGAUAUACUGUGCUUUAGUGACCCGGUUGGGUCGGUAUCCUGGUAUAUAGGAUGAUGCUAUGUUAGUGACCUGUUAGGUCGAUAUCCUGGUUAUAGGAUUGUUGCUAUGCUUUGUGAUCUGUUAGAUCGGUUUGACUGCUAUAUAUAUACAUGCUAGUGUUAUAUGAUGUCUAUGUGCACAUGAUUGUCCUAGUUAUAGGAUGAUGCUAUGUUAGUGACCGGUUAGGUAUGUAUCCCGGUUAUUGGGAUCUUGCUAUAAUUGGUGAUCUGUUAGAUCGGUUUGACUAUUAUAUGAAAUGAGCCAGCGUAUGAUAUUUAUGUGCACAUGUUUGUUUGAUUGGGGGUUGGGUUGAGGCGGUCCUGCUUUGUGCUGUGGGCCAACAUACCCGACGAGCGGUCCGGAUAGGCUGUAGGCCCUGCGUGGCGGUCCAGACGUGCUGAAGGCUCGAAGAGCAGUCCAGAUAGACUGAAGGCCUGUGAGGCGGUCCAGUCAGGCUGAUGACUCAUUAUGCAUGAUGUUCUGUAUUGGUUAUAUGAUAUGGUUAUGUUUGUAUGGCGUUGGUAUUUUGGGGAAACUCACUAAGCUUCGGGCUUACAGUUGUUGAUUUUAUUUCAGGUAUUUCUGAUGAUCGCGGGAAGGCGAAGGCAUGAUCGCGCACCUCCUUAUAUUUUCAUGAUUGAUUCUGGGGAUACUCUGAUGUCUAAACUAUUUUGAAAACAAAUUGUAAUGACUUAAUGGUUUUAAAUGUUUUAAAAAGUUUUAAAUUGGCUUGAAUUUUUGGGGUGUUACAAGUUGGUAUCAGAGCCUUGGUUUGAGUGAAUUGGAGGAACACUUGUGUAACUCCAGUAUCAAAUCAAGGAAGGAUUUUCAAAAUGAUUUUUCAAAAUUUUUGUCAAAGUAAGUAAAGGAGGAUACAGGGUGUACGAUCAGCCGAAGCCAGUAAGUAGACCCCAAAAAUACCAUACAAGUUAUUUGAUUAUGAGAUAUGUUAGAACAACAUGCUAGUACUAGGCUAGGGUUCUUCAGGAAUUGCAUGAUAGAAUUGCCUGAUUACAUGAUGCCUGCUAGCCUAGGGUUUCUUUAUAUGAGAUUGACAUCAAAACUGCAGCUGUUUAGUGUAUAUAUCACGGCUGUACAUAACUAAGAUCUUAUAGCCCAAUAAUGUUUGAUUUGGCCUUAUGUUUUAUUCUUAUUGAUUGGGGCUUAGGGUAAGAUUGGAUAUUCGAAAGUCUAUAGGGUCCAACGUUAUGUAUGGCUAGCAUGCACUAGUGCUGCAGGGUUAGUGGAAGUUUCAUGGAUGAGUGGGUUGUGUGAGGCCAGUAGGCCAGUUACGAGAUAUUUAGCAUUCCUCUAGGAUUGAGGAUUGAGUGCUCUCCAUGAUUAUGUAUAUUGAUUAGGGCGUUGUGAUGACACUUGAGACAAAUAUGGGUAGGUGUGGAAGGUAGUAUGGACCCGUACUACUGAAAGCACAUGACCCAUAUGCGUAGCAAGGUAGUCACAAUCCCUAGGGUUUGGUUGGGAGUAGGUUCCCUGUUAUUGUAUGGAUUAUCAGAGAUCUCUCUGGUGUAUUAUCAGAAUGAUGGUUACACAAAGUCUUGAGACCGGGUCUAGGUCAGGAUCGGGAGUUGGCAGUCGGGAUAGGCCAACAUUAUCAGAGGACCGUGUUAGUGAGAUUAUCACAGAGGAGGUGAUCGGGGUCGUUAGGGAACAGUUGUCGGAGAUGUUUGGGUCUAUCAAGACCGUCAUGGUUGAGUGUUUCAACGAGCGCUAUGCAACCAUUGCCGAGACAGUUGCCGCAACAGCUAUAGCAGCUGUAAUGACGGCAGGGGGAGGAGCUGGUCGAGCUUUUCAGUACCGGGACUUGUUACUGGGGCAUUUUCUUAUGAGUCGAGGGCUGCAGUUACUUGGGAUCAAGGAGAUGUUAUGUACUUGUUACAAUCCGCAGGUUAAGCGGGAGAGUCUAGCACAUUAGUUUCUAGAUUUGAGGCUUCGUGGGUUUGCUCGAGGCUGGAAUGUGAUUCGCGGGGACUCCGGAAAGGAGUAAUGAUUAUGUUCAGCUGAAGUUAUGCAGCUGGAAUUAGAAUGGUUAAUUGAUAGGAUUGGAAUGUUGUCUUCCAGGGCAAGGAUUUUGCCCUUUCAGUUUUCGAGCUCAAAGGAGUGAGCAAACUUUAGGACCCUAGGAUCAGGUUGUGUUCCAGCUCGGGUCAGUUGGUCGCUGGGAUUGGCGACAUUAGUUCAGCGCUGAUGGGUCAAUGUGGCAUAAGUGUGUUGUGAGGUCUGGUUCGCCUUGGAUCUCUCGUAUCGGGCGAUAAGGAUUGAUUGUGCGAUCUAUUGCACUUUUGGGAUUGUAUACUAUGUCGUGGGAGUAGUUGUAUCCUGGUUUAUGGAAAAGGUUGUUUUAGCUACUGCGGUUCAGCUGUGGAUGAUUGAGUUGGUGAGUGAGUCAGGGUGCGAGGCCCUAAAUGAUAUGAUUUCUAGAGCCGAGAGCGGGAGAUUUGUUGGAGCACCUUGGGAAGAAGGGUAUUAUAUGGGAGGUCUGCAGACAGGGUCCCACAUGAUGGUUAUUCAGCAUUGUCAGGAUUCAGUGGUUUUAGUAAGCGUUAUUGAUUGGCGGAGGAAAGCACCAAGGGAAGUAGCUCGUUGUUGAGACAUUAGUUGGAGUAUCUAUCUUUGGACUUUAAGAUUUGGGAGUGGGAUCAUUCGAGCAUUGGGGACUGUUGGUGUCCCUCGGAUUCAGAAAGUGUUCAGCUGGUUGUUAGAAGUGUGUGAUCACUAGGGAUUGGCUGGUAAUGGGGCACUAAUUGGUAAGAUUUGGUUGCAUUUGGAUCGAUCGUUGUUAGUGAGAAAGAUUGGAAGUUCUCCAAUUUUCAUGUAUUGCGAAGACUUAGUCGAAUCUAAGCGGGGGAGAAUUGUCCCGUGAUAUAGAGGCAUGAUUGGUUUUGGAAAUAGGAUAAGUUUCGCAUCAUUGUCAUGAAGGAAGACAACCUAAGUGGCUAUUUGGUUUGUGGGUUGUGUGAAUUGGGAGUUCGGUAAAACUCCUGAGCAUGUGUAUGACGUUUUCCUGUUGAUUGAUAAUAGAAGUCAGGAAACCAGGUUGGAGUUCUAGUCAUGAAUUGUGUUCUGUUCGAGUAUUCGGCCGAGGGUGUGUUCGACUCUGAAGGUUUUAGAUUGAUAGGUUGAGGGUUUUGAUGGCUGCCAGGACUCGACAGUACAUUCAGUGCAAGUGUGCGGUUUAUUAGCAUAAGCGGUAGACAAGGAGGUCAGGGAACAAACCACAAAUUUUUGAGAGGAUGGACGAUCGACAUGAGGCCUAGGGUUAGGUCGGGGUCAGAGUCCACGAAAUGGAUCAGGAGUUCGGAACCCUAAGUGGGUGAGAACAGUCUGCAUGGGAAAGAUCACCAGAGGGUGGUCCAAGGAGAUGCUCAAUAGUUUAGAGUGGUCCAGAUGACUGAAGGCCUGGUGAGGCAGUCCAGUCAUGCUGAAGACUCUGUAUGUGUUUGUAGAUUUAUGUGUGGGCAUUGAGUAUGCUGCUACGCUAUAUCAAAUGCUGCUACGCUAUAUCAAUCAGUAGGUCUGUUCCCAAGUAUUGAACGUGUUGUUGGAGUAGUGUGAAGACUCCGGUGUAAUUUUUGUUUGAUCGGAAGUUGUUAUUAAAAAUUGGAUGGAGUACAACGGAUCUUGGUGAUCUCAUUAGUUUGGAGGGUCUCAUAGGAUUAAUCUGCUUGAAUCGGAAAAUACUCCAGUUGGGGACCGGGAGUAGAUAUGGAUGGGUAUCUGUCAGUUUAGGAAGGCUUGGGAUUAGAAUGCUUUGUCGUUCAGGUUUUGGAAACCGGAUUAGACCUGGAUAAGCUAGUAGGAGCGCCACUGAAGUUAUGAGACCAAGGAAGCAAUGGAUUGCUUAAGGUUGCGUGUGAUGUAAGGCUACCAUUGGUCAUGUAGCAAUCGCUUUCAGUCAUCGGUUGGUAACGUCGGGAUUCGACGCAUGGAUCCGAUCGGUUGGAUCAGGAGGCUAUUAGGGCCUCAGUGACAUGAUAACUAGUGGCAACUAGUUCCAGAGAAGGAUUUUGCCCAGAUUCACAUGAAACAACUAUGUGAGAGUCCUUUAACCACGCGACCGGGCCAGAACCUGGUAUGCCAUAUGAUUGAUGAAUGAAUUGAGACCAGAGAGGUCUCGGUAGAUUCUGGAAAGUAGCCAUCUGGAAGCUUACUGCUUCAGGCAGAUCAAUGUUCAGACAAUUUCUGCGUUUAGGGCGGUAUUGAUGAAUUGGGUCUUCAGGUGUAUGGGAAGUAUCUAAAUGUUGGAACCCCUGAUAUCAGAAAUUGAAUAGUUAUAUGAGAGACAGGUGGAUUUGGAUCAACAAUAAUGAUUAGGUGUGAGAGGUCUGUCAAGGAGCCAGACCAUAUCGAGAUUUCAGGUUUCGGAUCGAGUAAAUGCGAUCAUAUUGUGAGGGAUUCAUUUCUGUUCAGGUUUUAGAACCCUGCAAGGGUUGGUCGUGGAUGCCUUGGAAAGGCUAGGGUUAUGCCUGAAAUUUUAGCAUUGUAGUUCAAGUUGGUUGGGGUGUAAGGAAUGAUCAUAAACGAUUUCGAGGACGAAAUCAAAUCUAAGUGGGGGAGAGUUGUAACAUCCCAUUUUAAGGAGGGUAAUUAAAUAAUAAUUCAGGAACCCCGAGAAGUAAUUAUUAUUAUUAUUAUUAUUAUUAUUAUUUUAUAGUAUUAGAGCUCAAAAAUCAAAUAAUAAAUAUUGGGAUAUUAGUUUCGGGGAUUACAUAAUGAUAUCAGAUUUAAUUUAAAAGGAAAUGAGGUGGAUGGGUUGGUUAUGUCAUAGUUAAGAUAUUGGGGAUUGUUUAGUAGUUUAUGGGACUUAACUUGUAAGGGAUUUCCAUGGAUUGGGUUGAAAAGGUAAAUUUGGAUUAUUUUGAAAGAAUUAUGGGGAGGAGGGGCCGUUUUGGUUAUUAUGGGAUACUUUUCUUAUGGGGUUCGGGGUAUUUAAAUGUAAUAUACCCGUCACCCUCAAAACCUAACCCUAAUUAUUUGUUGCGGUCGUCACCUUCCACACCUCCUUUCCCUCCAGCCGCCACCAUUUGACACCCUUGAUGUUCCGAUCGAUCAUGAGUUCCGACGGCAUCCACUNNNNNNNNNNNNNNNNNNNNNNNNNNNNNNNNNNNNNNNNNNNNNNNNNNNNNNNNNNNNNNNNNNNNNNNNNNNNNNNNNNNNNNNNNNNNNNNNNNNNNNNNNNNNNNNNNNNNNNNNNNNNNNNNNNNNNNNNNNNNNNNNNNNNNNNNNNNNNNNNNNNNNNNNNNNNNNNNNNNNNNNNNNNNNNNNCCCCAGCCACUCUCGGCUGUUGGCGGUACCAUUCCGAUUACCGUUUCCCUUGAUGACGCCGCCACCGUGAGCCGCCUGGGUGGCUGGAGUGUAUUCUAAAUCGGAUGUGUGUGUUGUAGCUGUGUCUCGCAAAUUAUUGGUGCCUCGGGUUGUUGCUGCCAGAGAAAAAUCAAGGAAAAACCACCAUGGCCGCCGCCCAUGGUGGCUGCCGCCUCAAGGACCGCCAUAGAGGGUGUGUAUGCUUCUGUAGGGUGUUAUUUUAUGUGGGUGUGAUUAUUAGUGUUAGUGUGUGUGUUAAUCGGAUGGUAUUGUAAAUUGUAACAAGUGGAAUAAUGAAAGAAAAGCUCAAACCAUCACCGUAGGGUGGUGGCUGCCGCCUCCUGCCGCCACCGACCGCCAUGUCGGGUGGCGGUGUGCCUUGUUUGGUUUGUGACUCGUUUGGAUGUUGGACAAGGGACUACUAACCCUAGUGGGCCCAAAGAGACCCCAAUGGACCCAAUAAAACCCUAAUAGGCUUGAUGAUAUUUUAGUGGGUCUAAUAGGCCUAAUAAAGACCUAAUUGACCUAAAAGCCCAACAAGUUGAUAAAUGGGCUAGUAAUUGGGUUGGAAACCCUAAUUAGGGUUUGGAAAGCCCUAAGAGCAUAAAACCCUAAUUGUGGGAAUUGUUUGGGACACACACGGGAAUUAAUUAUUAAACUUAAAAUAAUAAUUAAUAAUGAUUGGCCAACUAACUUAGCAAUAAUGGACUUAAUGGAUUAAGUCCUUAAUGGAUUAAGUCCUGAAGGGGUUUAGUAAGAAACACUUAACCCUAAUCAUCAUUUCAUGUGAAAGCCCCAAUCUCAUUCGGGCCUUGAAUUGGGCCUUCCUAUUGGGCUUUGGCGAUUGGACUAUUGAUGAGCCAUCCAAGAACAAGUUAAUGGACCAAAGUAAUUAGAUGGGCUUUAGGAUAAGGCCCAUGUGAGGACUUGGGCCCAAUUUGGAAAAUUAGGCCAUAGAUGGGCCAUAAUUGGACCUUUUAUGAUUAUGUUGUAAUAGGCCUUAGGAAUUGGAGGGGAAUAAUUGGAUGGGCCUUAAGGAAAGACCAUGUAGAGGUCUGGGCCCAAUUUGGAAAAUUGGGCCAUAUGUUGGGCUUUGGCCCAUUACUUGACUAUUGAGCCUUUAGUGUGUGAGUUGGACUUUGGUCUUGGAACCCAAUUAUAAUUGGGUGUUGCUUGAUGUUGGCAGCUCGGGAAUCUGUCAACUAUCAGCUGGAGUUUUAUCUGCAGGACUUCAGUAGUGCCAGGUGAGUUCUCCUCACUAUAUCAACAGGGUCUAAGGCACCAAGGCUGACCCUUUACGGAUUGUAUUCGGAUUAUUGCAUGUUAUGCUUAUUGAUUUAUAUCCUGGUAGUUAGAAUGGUGAUAUACUGUGCUUUAGUGACCCGGUUGGGUCGGUAUCCUGGUAUAUAAGAUGAUGUUAUGUUAGUGACCUGUUAGGUCGAUAUCCUGGUUAAGGGAUUGUUGCUAUGCUUUGUGAUCUGUUAGAUCGGUUUGACUGUUAUAUAUAUACAUGCUAGUGUUAUAUGAUGUCUAUGUGCACAUGAUUGUCCUGGUUAUAGGAUGAUGCUAUGUUAGUGACCGGUUAGGUAUGUAUCCCGGUUAUUGGGAUGUUGCUAUAGUUGGUGAUCUGUUAGAUUGGUUUGACUGUUAUAUGAAAUGAGCUAGCGUAUGAUAUUUAUGUGCACAUGUUUGUUUGAGUGGUGCUUGGGUUGAGGCGGUCCUGCUUUGUGCUGUAGGCCAACAUACCCGAUGAGCGGUCCGGAUAGGCUGUAGGCCCUGCGUGGUGGUCCAGACGUGCUGAAGGCUCGAAAAGAAGUCCAGAUAGACUGAAGGCCUGUGAGGCGGUCCAGUCAGGCUGAUGACUCAUUAUGCAUGCUGUUCUGUAUUGGUUAUAUGAUAUGGUUAUGUUUGUAUGGCGUUGGUAUUUUGGGGAAACUCACUAUGCUUCGGGCUUACAGUUGUUGAUUUUAUUUCAGGUAUUUCUGAUGAUCGCGGGAAGUCAAAGGCGUGAUCGCGCACCUCCUUAUAUUUUCAUGAUUGAUUCUGGGGAUACUCUGAUGUCUAAACUAUUUUGAAAACAAAUUGUAAUGACUUAAUGGUUUUAAAUGUUUUAAAAAGUUUUAAAUUGGCUUGAAUUUUGGGGUGUUACAAGUCUCUAAUAAGGAUCUAUUUUGUAACUCGAAAGUUACGAUUGAAAGUCCAACAUAGGAUAAAGAGUAGGUGCAAGAUUUAGCACCGCCUGCAGUCAAGAAGUCCAAGACUUAGAUAUUGAUUCGAAGGAACAUAGAAACUAUGGUUAUUACCUAGGAUGAAAAGAUAACAUAUGGAGUCAUUAUACCAGCCCUGUUUCGUUGAUGAUUCUGGGACGUAAUCAUCCUAAGGGGGAGAUAAAUGUAACUCUCGCAGAUUCGGGCUAGUCAAUUUAGACACGAUAAGCAUCAAAAGAGGAUUAUUUAUAAUAAAUAAUCUGAACUAAGUUGUAGUAUAUUUCACAAGGGUUCUGUACAUAUAAAGAACGCCGAAAUUCGGGUUAUAACGAAGAAGUUAUGACAUGUCGAAGUUUCACGACAACACCGACACGACACCAGGAAUCGUAAAAAGUGAGUUUACGAUAGAUUACUUUUUAUCCUUAGGGUUCUUAACGAAAGUUGUAGAGUACGUCUCCACCUUCAUGUGGAUAGAAAGAACGUAAAAAAUGGAGCUCGUAUGCAAAAGUUAUGGCCUUCCGAAGAUAUCGUUGUCUGAGAGCAUGACAUGUGUCAGAAACCCUAAUCUGACUGGCGUCACGACGUGAGAAGUCAAACGGACAUUAAUCGGGCCUAGAAAACACCUGGGAAGUCUAUGGGAUGACUCUUGAAAGCUCACGACGUGAGCUUAUAAUUCUCACGACGUGAGAAGUCGUUCGGACACGUUUCAGAGCUGUAAACGCAAUUGGCAAGUCUAAGGGGUGAGCAGGCAUGGCUCACGACGUGAGCAAUGAAUUCUCACGACGUGAGAGGCCAAAAAUCAGCCUAUAAAUAGCCAUUUCGACCCUAAGCUUCCUGAUAACCAAUUCUUUUUUCUCUUUCUCUCUCUUUCUCUCUCUCUCUCUCUCUCUCUCUCUCUCUUUCGUUUGCUGAAGUCGUUUCACGUCUCGAGCCCGACGAUCACGAACCGCUGACCGUUUCUAGUUAGAUUCUAUCAAAGCACGCUACAAGUGAGUACAUAGUUACUUUCAUCUUACACAUAGAUAUGAAGUAUUUUAUAUAAAAUUACGUGCUAUAUGUGCAUAUUAUCUGAAUACUUGCUGUUUAUGUUGAUGAUCGAUUUUAUAUACGUUUUAAAUGAUUUAAACUGUAUAUGUAUUUUAUAUCUAUAAAAUGUGUUGGGUAAAACAUGGUUAGAUGUAAUAGUUGGUGUGUGAUGAAAUAAAAUGAUGAGAGUCCUCGAUGUUGGCGUUGAUCCAGUCAUCUAGCGGAGUAUAGAUGACGACCACAGACUUUUCUAGACAGUACAGUGGAACGCUAGCAGGCUCGCAACCUGUAGGUAUUUAUUUGAACUUAGUGUUCGCCAGCAGUACUCCACCCCCCCCACCAACACAUGGUUGCCUUAUUUGACAUAAAUUGCUGAGGAAUCUCCAAAGCAGUGUUGUCACCCCGAUGAAAAUCCUUAGGCUAGGUCCAUCAUAAUAGAUGCUUUAGGGACGUAAAGUGAGGAUAAUGGGAACGGGUAAUCGGGUUAAUUGGUUGAUGAAAUUAAUAAAUUUAUUUAUUGUGGGUUGAAAACUCUAUGUGCUCACCAGACUCCCAAGCCUGACCCACUCAGUUUCUUAUAUUACAGGUAGUGGCACAAGAGCAUAGUUGGAUGACUUGAUGAGGUAUUAUGGAUUAUAGGCCAAUAGAUAUAAGUAAUGUUGUAAGGCCUAUGGUGUUCUGUUUAUGUUUUUGAUCAAUAUUGAACAUGACAUCCCGAGGUUUAAUAUAAUAAAAUACAUUUCUUCGGAAAUGCUUUGAUAAAUCUUUAUCAUAUUUUCUUUUGGGGACAAAUUCUGCAACACUUUUAUUUGAAAGAUUAAUCUAAUUUUAUUAUAAAAGCAUAAACGAAAUCGGGCUUUUCUGGCCAUGAAAAUAGGGGAUGUCACAAUAUCAAACAACAGUCUGGUAUUUUGUGGUUUACUUAUUGGCUCUGACUGAUCGUACACAUCACAUCCUCCUUGAGUAUCUUGAAAUCCAUUUGAAAAUAUUUUCCUUAGUUUGAGACAGGAUUCACAUGAGUGUUUGUCCAAUUCACUCAAACCAAGGCUCUAAUACCAACUUGUAACAUUCAAAAAAUUCUUGAAAAUUUUUAACUUUUUAAACAACCACAAAACCAUCAUUUAUUACAACUUGUUUUCAAAAUAAGUAUUACAUCAGAGAAAUUCCAAAAUCGUAAAAAGAAAACAUGAGGAGGUGCAUGAGCACACCUUCGCCUUUCCAUGAUCCACUAAAGUGAAACAUAAUCCAAACUAUAAGCCUAAAGCUUAGUGAGUUUCCCCCAAAAUACCAAUACAUAACAAAUAAAUAGUUAUACUAACAACAUACGUUGGGCCCAAUCAACCAUCAGGUUGGAAUACGCCAGGCCCCUCAACCAUCGGGUUGGAAUGUCAAUAUAGUACGGAUCCUAUCAUCCUUGGGAUAGAAUACCCCAGGCCCUCAACCAUUGGGUUAGAAUGCGAACGUACUAUGGGUCCAAUCAUCCUCGAGAUGGAAUACCCUAGGCCCCUUAACCAUCAGGUUGAAAUGCCUCAACCUGUUGGCUUACGCACAAAGUAGUGAAGCCUCAGCCGCUAACAAAUCAUUUACACAUAUAACAAAUAAUCAUAUAAUAGUCUACAUCUAGUCACAUAGAUCUACAGAUCACUAAGCAUAGCAACAUCCUAUCUACUAGGAUACCGAUCUAACAGAUCAUAACAAUACAAUAGCAUGCAUAACAUGAUAUCAAUCCAAUGUGUCGACAUUGGUGCCUUCGACCCGCAAAUAUAGUGAGGACAACUCACCUCACUAGUAGUGCAGAACUGAUAAGGUCUGACUCUAAAUCUCAGCUCCUGAAUCAAUGCCUACAACCAUCAUGACCAAAACCCAUCAAAAUCCCGAAAUACCAAAAAUACCCUCAAAAGUCCAACUUGGUCAACCAUGGUCAAAGCCAAAGUCAAUGGUCAAGGUUAACAGUCCAUGUUGACCCAACUCGUCCAGUGGAUCUCUUGGACUCGUCGAGUUCUAUAGAACUCAAAAAGUCGGGGAAAACCCUAGUCAACUCACUGAGUUGGCUGGACAACUCGCCGAGUUUUCCCCAGCUUAACACAUACAACUGAUUCUUCGAUUCCAAAGACUCUAAGGCUCAGUUCUAAACUCCAAAUGUGUCUAAAAGGAUAAAGUUUCCAACUUUAUCCUUCAGGACUACUCCAAAUGCUCAAAAACCCUUCCACAGGGCUUGAAAACUCAAAGGCUUAACCAUUAAGCACAAAAUACUUGAGAUCUAGAACCCAACUUUUCCAGAAGAGGUUCUAGCCUCAAAACAUCCCAAAGGUGGGUUCUUUAUAGACAUGCAUGUCCAAUGCAUGUCUUGAACCAAAAAUGAGUCAAAAAGGGGAAAUAUGACCUAAACUCCAUGCAUCGCAUCAAAACUUGGCAAAGGACCAGAUCUAAUCCACUCUAAGGUCACCUUGACCUGGAGAUUCAUAAAGUUGCAAAGUUUAUGAAGUCCAUCCAUUGCAACAUCCAAGAAUAAGGAGAAAAAUGGACAAAACUCAAGAUCUAGCUUCAUAGAUAGAUAAAAAUCGAAUCUUGAACACUUACAAUGGUCCAAAAGAGUGCCAAACUGAAGAUAAGAGCUUUGCUUGCUAGAUCCUUGCCUCAUUCUCUCAAACCCUUCCUUCUUUUGCUCCAAAAUGCCACACUAACUCACAAUAUGAGAUGGAAUGAAGAUUAGGAUUCACAAUGCCGAUAUUAGGGUUUGGAGGCUGAUAAAAGAUUAGCCUCAAGGACUUAAGGAGGUUAUAUAGGGUGCAAACCCUAAAAUUUAGGGUUUCUCAUUCAGCCGCCAACUCGUCGAGUUUUCCUCACCAACUCGUCGAGUUGGUCCAAAAUGAUGUGCGACCCAAAAGCCUUCAACACGUCGAGUUGAGGCCAUCAACUCGACGAGUUCCAAGGGAAAUUUGUCUUUGAAUAAAAAUUUCAUACCUAAGAAUCGGGAUGUUACAUAGAGUAUUGCAUUUUUAUUUUUAUGGAAACUCUACCCAAAUAUAGCAUGUUACUUUUAUUUUUAUAAACUACCCUGAUAUAACAUUACAUUUUCGUCUUAUUUUGAAAAUUAACCAAAAUAUAGUAUUGUACUUUUAUUUCUUUUAAAACUACAUUGAUGUUGCAUUGUUUUCAUAUUUUUUCUGAAAAUCUACCAUAAUAUUUCACUAAAUUUCCAUGUUUUUUUCUUGAAAAACUAUCCGGAUGUAACAAAGCAUUUUCAUCGCUUUUUUUUUUUUUUUUUUUUUUUUUUUUUUUUUUUUUUUUUUUUUUUUUUUUUUUUUUUUUUAAUUUUAGUGUUCAUGUUAAUGCUUUAUGUACCAUUUGGUUUUAUUGUAAUUUCAGGUAGAGAGAUGGGUAUAUAUCUUAGUACUCCAAAAACAUAAAAGUUCUUUGAAGAUUGUGAGAAUGAGAGGGUCAAAUAUGGUUUAUCGACGAUGCAAGGGUGACAUAAUUGUGAAACCUCAUAUACUCUUGAGCCAUGUCUAACAUGUGCCCAUUUUCUAGUUGAAAUUGAAUUUUGGAAAUGUAUUGUAAGACUUAAAAAGGCUAGAAAUCGGGUGAUUGACAGCGACUCCUAUUGAAAUUGAUAUAAGCACCAUUAAGAUAUUUUUGAAAAAGAUAGAGGAGUAUGUUAAUUUUGAAUUCCAAAAUCAAAUGAAUGCAUGUUAAGAGUUGUAAGAUCAGAAAUUAUAUGUGAUUUUGUCCUUAAGAUUAUGAUUUAGAAUAAGGAAGGGAUAAACACAAUUUACUAUCACAUUAAUUAUAUGACUUUUUAAUUUUAAAUAACAAAAAAACUAAAAUUGACAGAUAAAUAUUAUUUAUUUAAAAUAUAUUAAAAUUAAUGAUGAUUGACAUAUAACAUAAUAAAUAUUGAUUUAGAUCAGAAAUUAUAUGUGAUUUUGUCCUUAAGAUUAUGAUUUAGAAUAAGGAAGGGAUAAACACAAUUUACUAUCACAUUAAUUAUAUGACUUUUUAAUUUUAAAUAACAAAAAAACUAAAAUUGACAGAUAAAUAUUAUUUAUUUAAAAUAUAUUAAAAUUAAUGAUGAUUGACAUAUAACAUAAUAAAUAUUGAAUGAAGAGUAAGAUAUCAUAUUAAAAAAAAAAAUUAUUUCAUUAGAUUUUCAUACAACUCGGAUAAAUCAUAUAUCUGACUCUUCCGUUAUGUUAAUAAUUGUUGGUUGAUUCAACCAUGCUAUCUUUAAUUAAUGAAAGAGAUAACUUGCAUUCAGAAAUUAUAAUUGAUAUCGACAUUAAUACUCUUUAAUGUUUGCCGAAAGGAAAUUCUGAAAAUCUAUAAAGAUGAAAAUUGCAGUCAAAUUAAUUUGGUUUUCAAGCACAAUUGAAUGAAAAAAGCAUUAUUGCCUACUUGCAUAGGGCAACCCCACACUCAUAAAUAUUUAAUUUCCUUUAGUUUGCAGAUUUUAAUUNNNNNNNNNNNNNNNNNNNNNNNNNNNNNNNNNNNNNNNNNNNNNNNNNNNNNNNNNNNNNNNNNNNNNNNNNNNNNNNNNNNNNNNNNNNNNNNNNNNNNNNNNNNNNNNNNNNNNNNNNNNNNNNNNNNNNNNNNNNNNNNNNNNNNNNNNNNNNNNNNNNNNNNNNNNNNNNNNNNNNNNNNNNNNNNNNNNNNNNNNNNNNNNNNNNNNNNNNNNNNNNNNNNNNNNNNNNNNNNNNNNNNNNNNNNNNNNNNNNNNNNNNNNNNNNNNNNNNNNNNNNNNNNNNNNNNNNNNNNNNNNNNNNNNNNNNNNNNNNNNNNNNNNNNNNNNNNNNNNNNNNNNNNNNNNNNNNNNNNNNNNNNNNNNNNNNNNNNNNNNNNNNNNNNNNNNNNNNNNNNNNNNNNNNNNNNNNNNNNNNNNNNNNNNNNNNNNNNNNNNNNNNNNNNNNNNNNNNNNNNNNNNNNNNNNNNNNNNNNNNNNNNNNNNNNNNNNNNNNNNNNNNNNNNNNNNNNNNNNNNNNNNNNNNNNNNNNNNNNNNNNNNNNNNNNNNNNNNNNNNNNNNNNNNNNNNNNNNNNNNNNNNNNNNNNNNNNNNNNNNNNNNNNNNNNNNNNNNNNNNNNNNNNNNNNNNNNNNNNNNNNNNNNNNNNNNNNNNNNNNNNNNNNNNNNUAUAUUAGUUGUGUACCCGCGUGAUAUGGCACCGGAAAAAAAAUGUUUCGGCUAUUAGUUAUAUUCGAACGUUUUGUUUUAGACUUUGUGUUUCGGCUAUCAACCUUUUUUGGAUGUUUUGUUUCACCUAUUUGUUCCUUUAGACAUUUCAUUUUGACGAAAGUUUUGUUUGGAUGUUUUGUUUCGAGUAGUAGUUUUGUUAAGACAUUUUGUUUCGCCGACAUUUUUCUUUGGACAUUUUGUUUCGGUUAUUAGUUUUCUUCAGCCUUUUUGUUUCAACGGUAAUUUUCUUUGGAUGUUUCCUUUCGGCUAUUAGUUUUCUUCAGACGUUUUGUUUCGACUAUAGUUAUGUUUGGAAGUUUUUUUCGGCUAUUAGUUUUCUUCGUACAUUUAUAUUUAAAGAAAGUUUUCUUUGGACAUAUUGUUUCAGGUUUUAGUUCUCUUCUGACGUUUCGUUUUGUGAUAGUUUUCUUUGGACGUAUCGGAAAUUUCGUUUCGGCUAUUAGCUAUUAGUUUAAUCCGGAGGUUUUUUCUUUGGACGUUUUGUUUUAGCCAUUAGCUAUUAGUUUUCUCAUGACAUUUUGUUUCACAAUAGUUGUUUCAUUUCGGUUAUUAGUUUUCUUCGGAUGUGUUCUUUGAAAUAUAGUUUUCUUUGGACGUUUUGGAUUUUGUUUAAUCUAUUAGUUUCUUUGGAUGUUUCAUCUAUUAGUUUCUUUUGAUAUUCCAUUUCACUUAUUAACUUUUUUUUUUUUAUAUUUCGUGUCGCCUUUUGUGGUAUGGUUCGACAAAUAGUAUAUGAGCAGCAAUUAGAUUUCGUUCUAUGAAUAUUUUUUCUUUUGAUAUGUCAUGUUUGAAUAUCAUAUUAAUACUUGGGCAACUAUUUAUCAUAUUAGUAUUCAGGCAGCUACUAAUAUAUAAUUAUUUUUUAGGUUAAAUUUUGAAACGUAUUGUUAUAUUUGUUGAGACAUAGAUUAUAAAAAUUUUGGUAAGCUAUUCAAGAUUUAUUGUAAUCAUAAUAUUAUUAUAAUUGACAUGUAAUUUAUUUAAUUCGCAUAAAAUAACAAAUUAUUUUCUUCAUGAAAUUAUUACAAUUAAUUUCUUUCAUCAUCCCCUAAUCUAAUAAAUAUUUUUCCACGUGGCAUUUUCUCAAUACAUUCUUAGAAUAUUUUCCCGCCUAAAAUUUUCAAUAUAAGACUCUCUUUUUCUAAAUGCUUUUUCGAGUUCGUUUUCAGCCUAAUGUGUUUUUAUCCAUAUACCCUUUAUACAAGAUUCAUGUUUCCAGUUAUAUCUUCAAAUUCAAAUCUUUCCUAAAUUUACGGCUGUAAUUUGCACAAUCAAAUCCCUCUAUAUCUACAAAUCCACGAGAUAAAAGGAUUGAUUUGUCAGUCUUCUCAAUUGUUAUUUUUCUUUAUCAGUAUGCACCGAUGGAACCCUAAUGGCUUCGUUUUCUUGAUUGCAGGUUUGAUAACGACAAUCUAAUCCUCCAUGGCGCGUGAUGAAAGUUCAUCUCUUCUCAAACCUAAGUAUAGGCAUCGAAGACGAAAUAGGUUACGACGUUUAUGUCAACUUCCUCAAAAUUCAGAUUUUGUUUCUCCAUCGUAACAUCUAUAAUAUUCAAUUCCCAGUUAUUUUUAAAUUCAUUUAGAAGGAACAUACAAAGUGUUAGCAUUAAUGUCUCUCUUCUCUCUCAUUUCUUCUCUGUUUUUAGAACAAUCUAUCAUUCGAGUCUCAGAUAAUGAUGUUGCUUGAUCAUCCAAAUGUUCUUAAAAUCAAACCUCUCAUUUGUAAACGACCAUAACCUAUGGGUUGUUAUGCCUUUCAUGGCAGGUGAUUCUCGUCGUCAUAUGUUGCAGGCUUUCCUGAGGGUUUUAGGAAGUUAUUAUUGCCUUUGAGGUGUUCAGCAAAAUGUGAUAAUGAAUUUCUUUUUGGAAAUGAAGGUUCAUAUUUGGUUGUAUUAAUAAAAUUGUAGAUUGUUUUGGUCCCUUCAUGUUUGUUUUUCUUGAAAAAAAAAACAAUAUAAUGUUAGGAAAAAAACAUACAUGUAUUUUGAAUUAAUAGAGGUCUCAGUUGUAAGAACCAUCCAGUUUAGGAACAUCAAAAUUUUUUGUAAAAGAGUCGGGUCGUAGAAAACAGGGUGAUGGUUGGGUUUCAUUUUUUGCACUAUCUUUUGUUAAGUUCUUAUUUAUGCGUAGAUAUUACUCCUUUUAGUGUGUGGAACUGCAAUGGAGAAGAGCAAAUGGUUAGUGUUAUAUUAAUAUUUAUAAAAGGAAUGAUUGUUGAUAUUUGAGAAUCACGAAGUAUGAGGAUCGAAAUGAUCAAGAUGUGUAUGGAACUCAAGGUUGAUAAAUUCAAGUAAUAUAUGCACUUGGAAAGGAAAUUGUUGGGAGAUCAAUUAAAAAAAAUUAUAUUAAAAGAUCAAAGAAGAAAAAGUAGUACUCUUUGUAAGGGUAGAGUUUUAUUCCUUAUUAUAAAUAAGCAUGGCUUCGAUUUACAGUUUAAAGCAAAAGUUGAUUGUCAUUGGUCAAUUAGAUUUAAUCUUUGCGAAAAUCGUGUGUCCCGAUAUCAAUAUUAAUCAGUGUUCUAAAAGGCGUGCCAUGGCGUGAGGCGUGGCUCCGUCGUUACGAAUAGCCUCAUAACGUUGCUGUUAGGUGUGGCGCGUGAUAUGGCGUGUUAUGGCGCCUGUUUUUUCGUUUGAGACACAGUUUUUUGCUCUUUGUUAUGUAUUUUCUAAUCGGAAAUCCAAGUAUUGUGGUUUUUGUUAAAAUUUUGUUACUAGUUAUUGAUCUAACACUUCUAAAAAGUAGUUAUAUUUAAUAUAAAUUUAUAUUUAUGUGGUAAUAUAAUUUUAAAUUAAUACAAAAUCGCCGCCUUACAUCACGCCUUGAAAAACGUCAUGGCUCGCCAUGGCUCGUUAAGCUUGAGGCUUGACCUUGCCGUCACGCCACGCCUCACGCCAUUUAGAACCUUGAUAUUAAUUACCAUUUGAAUUGUUAUUAUUGGAUAAACAAUGCUUUUUCUUUAUUUGGUGAUUAUGCUUUUUCGAUUUCAAAUUUUGUUUCAUCAAAUUAACUAUCUUCAUAUCUUUGAUGUUUUCCAGGUUUACUCUGUUGUGGAGGCUGAUCUGUUAAAUUUGAGUGGAACAAAGCAUUCUGAAAUUUUGAAAAUCAGGUGUGCUUAUUUUCGUUGCGAUUUUAUCAUAUUACAGCUAAAAGUGAGGAAUGGAUUUGAACUGUUGCGGUUCCCUUGAAUAAAAUAUUAAUAGAUUAAACUUAGAUCAUUAAAGUUAAUGGAGAUGAAUUCAUAAAGAAUAUGACAUGAUUUUCAUUUGGCUUCAAGAAAAGCCCAAGAAGCUGGUAAUAUUAUAUCAUAUCAAUUUUAUUCUAUCAAAAUAAUCGUUUUCCUACUGAUUUAUAGGGUUUUUAUAUCACAGCAUCCACCUUAGAAAGAGUUUCAUUUCUUGCUUGAGAAAUUCUUUGAAAAUGUUCGCAUUCAACUUUUCGAAAGGGUGAGUAACUUAGAACAUAUUCAACACAUUUUUACUUCUAUUUUCAUUUUGAUUAUGAACUUUAAUGAUACAUGAUAAUAGGGAAGCAUGUUUCUCAACUAAGAUAGUUGAUUGCAUUUUGGGACUAAAAAGAUUACAUGAGGAAAAAUGGUCUUUUAUCAUGAAUUAUGAUUUUUUUUUUCAUGCUUUUGUUAAUUCUUUUGAUACUUAAAGUUGUCAUAGUUUUUCUAUCUUUUUAUACUUAAUCGUUGCUUUGUUUUAUAAUUUAGUAAUGCCCAUAAUAAAUUUCUUGCAUUUUAACCUUUUUGAUUAUCGAAAGUAUAAAAGAAAAGUACAUUGAUAUUUUGUGUGUUUAACAUUUUUAAUGAGAAAAACACGAUAUUAUUCCUCACAUGAUGUUUUAAAAUGGUCUUAAAGUGUCAGGUUUGUCAAAUCAUAAGUUACUUCUAAAAGUAAUAUACUUAUAUAAUGGCAAUCGACUACAAAUGUUAUGUCUGGGCAAAUGUAUUAUUAAGGUCGUUAUUAAAUCUAGAAAUAUAAUUUUAUAGACAAAAUUUUUAUCUUUGUAAAUUAAUGUUUUUUUUUUUUUUUUAUAAUUCCUUGAUUAGUCGAUUUGCAAUAUCUAAUAGUAUUUUUUUCUUUUUCAUCCAUGUUUUCCACGAGUUGUAACCUAGUAAUGAUAAUAAACAAAAAAUAAAUCUUAAUACUAUAAGUAUUAUAUACAAAAAAUAUUAUGAGAAGGAAUUUCAUAUAGAUACGUAAUUCUAACAUGUUUUAUAGAUUUCAUAUAUUUUGUCAAUCUUUAAAUUUCUUUGUUUAUAUAUUUAAGUGUUGAAAAUACAAUUCCUAUGUACGGAAAAACUCUAUUUUUUUUAACACGAUUAUGUUUGUAUUUUAUGAUUUUUUUUAUAUAAAACUCAAUGAGUAGACUUGAAAUCGAAAAAUAUAUUAGAAAAUAUGAUUUUUUUUGAAAGAAAAGUUUUUUUAUUAGAAAAAUAUAAGCUAGAGACCUAGACCCAACUCAACCUUUUAACGUGGUCAGAAAAGAGAGUCAUAUUAGAGUAUGCGGUAUGGGUGAUGUUACAAGUUGUUAUGGCUGAGUUGGCAUGCCUUAACGGCGUUGUAACACCAUGAACCCCCCCACCCCCCUUUGUGUUAUGGUACAUCUCAUUGGUAUCAUGACAUUUUGCAACGGGAGAAUUGGCCAAUAGCAUCAUUUUUCUUUGUCUCUCUCUCUCUCUCUCUCAUAACAUGUCAUAACAAGGAACAUCAUUUCCUAUGUGGUGUUAAGGUGGUGUUAUAGUUGAGCUAGCAUGUGAAGUUGUGUUAUAAUAUUGACCCACACCCAAUGCUCUUAGCCGCUGGGAAGCAUUGGAAACUAUAUCAAUUAGCCUUUCCAGUUUUCACUUGAGAUUUGUGACGUAUAUUCUAAUGUUUUUUCUACUUUAUUUGACUAUUUUUUUUUGUUACUCAUAUAUCAUCACUAUAAAUAAUCUUAGUUUGGCAAAGGGAUAAUGACUUGAAAGGGUAACAAACUUUCGACUUUUUUCACAUUUAGUCACUAAACUUUUUUUCGUUAUCUAUUUGCCACUAAACUAUUGAAACUGUUCACAUUUUACCCUUAUGACCGGCUGUAACCGGUCAUAAGGGUAAAAUGUGAACAGUUUCAAUAGUUUAGUGGCAAAUAGAUAACGAAAAAAAGUUUAGUGACUAAAUGUGAACAAAAUCGAAAGUUCGUUUCCCUCUAAAAAGUUCAAUGACUAAAUGUGAACAAACUUCCUAUUGUAUUAUGUUUUAGAAAAUUAUUUAUUUUUGUUUAAUUGUAGCAACAUUUGUUGAUGAAGAAAUCUAUGAAAUAAAAAAACAAAAUGUAACAUCCGGAUUUCCAGGUAUCAUAAUUUAAGUAUUUUUCUUUUGAGUUAAGAAGAGAGACUCGACGAGUUGACGCCUCAACUCGUCGAGUAAGGUCGCGACUGAUGACUCGGAUUAAUGAAUGGACUCGACGAGUCGGUGAGGCGACUCGACGAGUCUGCGCUGUUGGCAGAAACCCUAAAUCUUUGGGCCCGAGCCAUAUUUAAAGGCACUUAUGGCCUUCAAUUGCGACUACCUUUCCCAUAAGUGAGAACCCUAGCGAGCUUGAGUGUGUAGAGUGAGAGGAAGAGCUAUCUUGAGCUUUUUGGUGUGAUUUUGCAAGAAAGGAGAAGAGUUCCAGCAAGAGGGACCAAGGAAGGUUAUUGUUCUGAGUUAUUCAAGCAAGGAGCUUCAUUCUGAGGUACAAAAAUGAACCCCUUUCCUUCCCUAUUGUGUAGAUUCCAUUUUGGGGUUAGGGCUUGAAUCACUUCAAAGCCCUCUUGCAAGUUUGUGUUAUAGAUAUGGACCAUUCUAGGUCCAGAGAGCCGAGAAUAUAAAGCUUUAGUAGAGUAAACAUUGGGGUUUGAAGUUAGGAAGCAUUUAUGGGAUUUUUAUGGUAUAUAUAGUUACUUUCAUCUUACACAUAGAUAUGAAGUAUUUUAUAUAAAUUACGUGCUAUGUGUGCAUAUUAUUUGAAUACUUGUUGUCUAUGCUGGAUGAACGAUUUUAUACAUGUUUUAAAAGAUUUAAACGGUAUAUUUAUUUUAUAUCUACAAAUAUGUUGCGGAUGAAACAUGGGUAGAUGAAAUAGUUGGUGUGUGAUGAAAUAAAAUGAUGAGAGAUAGGUGAUGAUAGAAAGGUGAUGAUAAUUAGGUAAAUAGAUGAUGAUGAAUAGGUGAUGUAGGAUGAAAGGAGAUACCAUAACCUUAACCGACAAUGUGGCGAUGUAGUCAUCUACCAGAGUAUAGAUGGCGACCACGGACUAUUCUAGACAACCCAGUGGAAACACCAGCAGGCCCAUAACCUGUAGGUGAUGAAUUACGAGUUCAGACGAUGUUGUAACUACGUAUUCAUGCGAUGAUACUCUAACCCCUUACUAUGAAUUACGAGUUCAGACGAUGUUGUAACUACGUAUUCAUGGGAUGUCACAAAUUCUGCAUGCCAAACCAAUGGUCAUAAUUCACAUUAGUGAGAAUGGUUCAUUUUUUUGUAAAACCAAAAUCAGAUUGGAAAUUUUGAUUUUUAUUUUGGAAGUCAAACCAUUGGUUUUUUAUUUCCGUUUCGAUUUUUUUUUUUUAAAUAUAUUUUCAGGGUUUUUUUUUUUAUUAUUAUUUUUUUAUUUUUUUAUUUUUUUAUUUCAUAGAUUUCUUCAUCAACAAAUGUUGCUACAAUUUAACAAAAAUAAAUAAUUUGCUAAAACAUAAUACAAGAGGAAGUUUGUUCACAUUUAGUCAUUGAACUUUUUAGAGGGAAACGAACUUUCGAUUUUGUUCAUAUUUAGUCACUAAACUUUUUUUCGUUAUCUAUUUGCCACUAAACUAUUGAAACUGUUCACAUUUUACCCUUAUGACCGGUAACAGCCGGUCAUAAGGGUAAAAUGUGAACANNNNNNNNNNNNNNNNNNNNNNNNNNNNNNNNNNNNNNNNNNNNNNCCCCCCUUUGUGUUAUGGUACAUCUCAUUGGUGUCAUGACAUUUUGCAACGGGAGAAUUGGCCAAUAGCAUCAUUUUUCUUUGCCUUUCUCUCUCUCUCUCUACUCUCAUAAUAUGUCAUAACAAGGAACACCGUUUCCUACGUGGUGUUAAGGUGGUGUUAUUGUUGAGCUGGCAUGUGAAGUUGUGUUAUAACAUUGACCCACACCCAAUGCUCUUAGCCUCUGGGAAGCAUUGAAAACUGUAUCAAUUAGCCUUUCCAGUUUUCACUUGAGAUUUGUGAGGUAUAUUCUAAUAUUUUUUCUACUUUAUUUGACUAUUUUUUUUGCUACUCAUAUAUCAUCACUAUAAAUAAUCUUAGUUUGGCAAAAUACUAAAACUAAAUUAAGCACUAUAAAUAAAAAAUUUAGAACAUAAACUUAUAUAUAUAUAGUUGAAGAUUAUAUGUAUCAAGUUUAAAAAACACUACAUAAAAAUAUCGUAAAAGUAAAUAUGAAAAAAUUGAUAGUUAAAAAUUUGAAAAUAAUAAUACCUAAUGGAACAUUUUUCUAAUUCAUAAUAUAAUUGAAGGGUUUUUUUUUUUAUUUUUUUUUAUUUUGCAUUUAACGUUAUCCGGCUUGAUUCAAGACAACAUUUACUACCAAUGAUAACCAUCAUCUUUUUAUUUUCAUUUAUUAGAAAAAUAACAUAUAAACUUCACCUUAUCCAUUGAAAGAGAUGCAGAUACACAAAGCUCAAGGAAGAUGCAUAAUCAAUGUCCUAUCUGAUGGGUUUUAGCUAUAAGAACAUCCUAUGUGCUCAUACAAACCCUAAUGCUUGGAUCUAGGUUUCUCUAAUGUACAUGCAAUUCAUCCAAUACUUUAAACCCUAGAUCUAAGAUAUGAUAAUCAAUAUUAACAUAACAAUGGGUUUAAAAUAUUACCUUGAUUGUUAUGUAGCAAUAACAAUCAUAAAUCCUCCUUGUAAUGACUUUAGAAAGCUUAGAGUCACAAAUGUCACUCCUCUAAUGGCUCCCAAACACCAAGAGCAAGAGGAUGAAGAAUAAGGAGAGUGGAGACUGCCCAAAACGUGUGGAAACCCUAAGGAACAAGUUCUUCACGUUUUUGGGGCUUAAGGGUUCUUUAAAUAGUGAGGCUAUUAGGGUUAUCUAACAAGGAAACCCUAAUUUGGAUGCUUAGGCCCUAAGCAACCCAUGAACCCCUUCCUUAAAGGCCUUGGACGAUUUCUAAUGGGUUUCCCCAUAGAAUUCGUCCACCCCUUUAAUAUGGAGUCCAUUAGCUCAAUAUUCAACUAUCAUACAAUUGACAGUUCUAGUCCCUUAAGUUCAAUUAAUGUCUUUUGGCCACAAAAUUAAUUCCUAAUUAAUUAUUGACUAAUAUUAAUUAAACAAUAUGAUUUCUCAUUUAAUAUAUCAUUUUCAUAAUAUAUUAAUAAAUCAUAAUCAAUCCAUUCUCUCCAUAAUUCAUCCUAUCAAGUUGCUUUGGUGAAGGCAACUCAAAAGGACCAUGCACCAUCGGGUCAAGUACAUACCAAAAUAGUUAUGGACUUAGACACUAAUCCAACAGUCUCCCACUUGGAUAAGUCUAAUAACUAUUCUGCAUAUGACUUCAGAUCCUGAUAUGCAAUCGUAGCUUUCUAAAGCUGCUGUCAACUCUGAUCUUAUCAGAUACACGUGUCCUUUAGAUAAGAGAUCAUAUAUUCCUCCAUUCUAGAAUCAUAUAGAUAUGAGACAUGAACUUAAUCAUUCCCUCUAUACAAUUUCCCGAAUUCCGAUUUAUGACGACUGACAACAGACUAUAAUUGAACCAUCAAUUUAGUCUCGACUCAGCCAAGCGCUUAGGUGCCAUCACUAAAUCAUCGAGGGGCCCAAAGAUAUCACUUUUAUCCUACUUUCGAUAAAAGAAACGGAUAAACUUUGAUUCAAUGCUUGCUUGCACUCACUUACCGAACCACACACAACAAUAUUUUUUAUAACACCAAGUUACUGGUGCGUUUACAUAUUAUCAAUGUGCAACCAACUCGCAAGAUACAACUCACACAUCUCGGUUUCAAGAACAUAAGAUGUUAUCGUCUCACCAAUCACUCGUGAUAAAAUCCAUGAAGUGAUCCAAGUGAGUGUGGGUUUAAUCCAAUGCUCAAAUCAUAUUCAUAAGCACUCAUGAACGUUGCAGCAAACAUUCGCUUAUGUCUAAUACACUUUAGACAAUCCACACACCAAUUCACGACAGUCUUCAUUCAUACCUACUUCCAACAUAUGAACGACUGUGGUCCGUUCGAAUAAUUUGACUGUUCUGAACCAAUUAAAUUAUUCAGGAAGUCAAAACAUGCAAAGUAAAACACAAGAAUAAUACUAAUCCCAUAUGGCCUCAAACCUGUAAGUAUAAAUAAAACACCUUUUAUUUAUCACCAUAUCGAUUACUGAUUAUUUGUUGUUUCGGGUAAUCAACUUCUUACUUGAAUUAUAACUACACUUGUCCCAUGCUCUUAGCAUGUACACAAUGCUAACCUAUGGUCCUUACUUUGUGAAAUAGAUCAAAUGAACACAUUUCCAAUCAUACUCAUUUCACAACUCCCAAUCCUUAUCAUAAGUAUAAGAAUAUCAAAUUCUUGCCACUUAUAGAAUAUGCUAGAUUCUAACAUUCUAUGCAACGAUCCUUUCGUAAUGUCACUGCACCAAAGUCACAAAGACUAUUGCCAAUGAUAUUACAAAGUCCUCUAUCGGAGAUUGUUACAAGACAAUUCCUUAGAUAUGAUGUCUCUCACUCAAAGUACAUUCCUUUGAACAUCCUUUUGCAUAAAAGUUUCUAAUCUAGUCAUAGAUUUUCAAUAUUCAAUUCUCAAUAUGGACACGUUUCCAUAUUUUCCAUAUGACAACUCAUUCUUAAUAGAAUCUUAUCUAUUCGUAAUGAUGUCGAUAUGGUCCAUCCAAUAUGGAAACAUUUCCAUAAUUUCCAUAUGACAACUCAUUCUUAAUAGAAUCUUUUCUAUUCAUAAUAAUGUCGAUAUGGUCCAUCCAAUACCAUGCUUCCAACUACUCACAAGCGACCAAUCCUCGUCGAACUUUGGAUUGUCCUUUGAUAGUUGUUUAAUUAUUUUAGUCAAAACCAAUUCUAGUCCCUUUUCCCUCUAAAUGCGCUCGACAUUUGGAAAAUUUUAGAAUGGUCAAACAUUAAAGCAUUUGCAAUCGAUCCUAUACCCGAAGCGUAUGGGACACGACGCAUAAUGUUUUAUUUGCUAUGUUCUCAAAAUUCGAAUUGUGAAGAGGGAUGCCGUAAUCAUAAUCGAAAUUUUAAGAACACACUAUGUACCUUUGACUAAAUUUAUUAACAUUUCUCAACCUAAUCCUUUAGAUUUGAAAUGAAGCAUAAUAUUCUCUCCCUUAAUUAUAGCAAAACAACUUUACAACCCUUACGACUUUGCAAGGUAUAACUCUUGUUUUCUAUAAUUAAUAUUGCCAACUUGCAAUACGUGCCUUAAUAAUCAUACAAUCAUAACAUUUAUGCUCCCACUAUCAUGAUGAUUAUUAUAAAACAUAACACUUAUGCUCCCACUAGCUUCGACAUGUAUUCAUAAACAUCUUAACUUUCAGAAAAACAAUACUUAUUGAAUUUCUUAAGUUCAUGUUUCUAAUACUUAGUGCUUUGAUAAUCUUUUAUCAAGGCUUCUUGAACUUAUACACCUUUGCCUUCGAUAGUUCAUAUGUGUGUCUAAACAAUUAAGACUAAUUGCCAAACCUCACAAUUCAAAUUAUGGAAAGGGAUACCGUAACCAUAAUCGAAUUCGAGAAUGCAAUUUUACAAUCACUAUCUUCUUAAAAUCUUUCUUAGUGAAAGCAUUUCCUCACAAUCAUUUUCAUGAAGGAGGAAAUCUUAUGACACUUAGAUUUAAACGGUGUAUGUGUUCCUAUCCAUGUGAAUUUGUUAAAACCAAAGUUUACGACAAAUUCAAACUCAUAUGGACCGAACUUUCUUAAUCUUGAUUUCUUGCCUUAUGGUAGCACAGCUGCCCACCAUGUCUUCCAAGUAGUUAAGCAGCUCACCCUUUCCUAUCAAUGUACCUUUCAUUGAUUAAGGUGCUUUGCCUUUUAUGCGUUCAAAAUGAGAACUCAUAGAACUCACAUGCAUAAUUAACUCGAUUGGAUUGGCACAGAAACAAAAUAAUGUCAACACGAUAGGUUGUAAACCUCAACUCGUGUGCUAGUGAUGAUCGAUAAGGUUUAUUUGAUUUGUUCUUGAAACCUUUCAAGACCAUUAAGACUCCCACUGACUCCUUGACAUAUAAGAUUCUCUUGUCAAUAAACAUUUCUUGACAAACAAAUAUUCAAGAGUUAGUGUAGCUUUUAUCAAAACACUUCAUAAAUUGGUCCUAGUUGGUCUUUGUCUUAUCCAAGACAUCACAACUUUCCACAUUUGAUGAAUGUUAUAAACCUUCUUAAUACUUUUCACUCAAUGUCACAAUCUUAACUCUAAGACUUGUUUUGGAACGAAGUAUGAUUGACUUCUUGAUUUAACCAUUUCUUCAAUUCUUGAUUCCUCUUCUUAGACAUACAAUUGUACUAAGACUCACUUAGAGGAUCAAUUGAGAUAUGGUUCUUAAUCAUUAAGACCUAUCAUAAAGCAUAAAAGGUACUCUCCCUUCUUCUUAGAAUGGAGAAACUUUUAUCUUUCUGCCUACUUGAUUCUUCUUAUUCGUUCUGCUAUUGAUUUAAACUUUUUCAAUCAAUUCAGAAUUACACUUAAUCUUGUAAGUAUAAUCAUAUUUACUAAACCUUUAGUAAAUCAUGACGAAUAUCUUUGUUACUCUUAUGGUGGACUUGAUCAACACGCAACUUUGUGUACUCGAUCUCCUAGUCCUUCACUUGACACUUUGUCAAUGAAUUAGUCUAAUUUCCAAAUAUGAAAUUUCUCAUUCAUCGUGCAACCAAGUUGCAUGAUUCCAAGUUUCUGUCCAAUUGAAACUUGGGCGAUGAGAAACUCUCCCUAUUUGGUAAAUUCUCGACUUUCCAUAAAUAACAUAAUAAGAACCAAAUCCAUUAUUGCUAAUAAUAGAAACAUUCAAACAUCAAUUUUUCAUAUACGCCAUUGCAAGGAUAAAUAAAUAAUAUAAAAUCAAAAUUUAUUUUAUUGCGGAAAAAAUUUGUCCUUACAAUGCAAUUCAUUGAAAAACUAUGCUAAUACAUCUUUCUUAGCAAUCUAAUUCUAACUCUAAGUAGUAGCUCAAGAAUCUAAUCUUCGAGAAAUGCGAUCGAAAUCCAUUCCUUCACGGUUAGAUUCUGCUCACUUCUUCCCUUAAGCUUCCUUUCUUUUCUUCGAUCCUACAAAACAUCAAUUGUAAUCUUAUCACAUUAUGUAUUAAGAAUCUAGAAUAGAAGCUUAAAAGAGUUAGUUAAUGGAUUUUACCUAUAUUAGAGCCAUACGUUUCGACUCUCCCAUCUCUUAGAUCUCUUAGGUAAAUGGGGCAGCUUCGUCUCCAAUGCCCUUUCUCUUGGCAAUAAAAGCAAAUUGACUCUUUUGGAACAUGACAUGGAACUACUUCAGACAUUGCCUUUCUCUUAUGAUCAAACUUUUCGAUCAUAGCAUGUCUUUCGUUGCCAUUGUCUAUAUCCAUAGAGGUCUUGAAGGCAGAUUCACCAAUCAACUUUGCUUUUCUAUUGCGCCAAACCAUUGCUGAUUCAGCAGCAAUAAGCAUAUAGGUGAGAUCUAUAAGGGUCACGUCGCGGUUCAUCAUAUAGUACUCUCUUACGAACUCACUAUAUGAGUUAGGAAGUGACUGAAGAACCCAAUCAACAGCCAUUUCCUCACAGACAACGGAUCCCAACAUUCUUAACCUAUCAAUGUGUGACUUCAUCCCUAGGACGUGUGCACACACCGACUUUCCUUCUUUAUGUUUACUUGCCAAAAGGGCUUGAGUGAUCUUGAACUUUUCAAGCCUUUGAACUUGUGGGUUAGGGAGAAUAAUUGGAGGAGGAGGAGGAAGUGAAGCAUGAUUUCUUGUUCCUCGAUCGAAUCGUGGAAUAUCAUCUUCAUGUGGAAUGCUUGUUCCACGGGAUUUGGGAAGACCAUAGUUGUCGAACUUUGACAUCUACAAAACGGGAGAAAACGAAUUCAAGUUAGUUGAUUGAUUGAGUCCUUAGUAAAUCACCCAAAUGAGAUACUAAGGCUAGGACCCAACACAAUAUUCUACAACUCGGGAGAGGGAUGCCGUAACCCUAAUUGCAGAAUAUUUGAAGGUAAGUGAAUGACGAUUCACUAAUUUCCACCAUGAAAAACGAAAAAGAAAUUUAAGUUUUAAAUCUAUGAAAACUCCUAGAUCCUUUGAGAUUCAUUGAACUUUCAAUGGCAUGUUUAAAUCUCGAUAUGCCCCUCUUGUUUGUGACUGGGAUGCCGAGGAUCACAAAGCGGGUGUGAAUAACCAUGCAAACUUACAUGGUGCCCUCACAUGUUACAGUCACCUAUUCGAUGUGCCGGUAAACCACACACGCUCCACCGAACUAUGACAAACAUUGAGUCACCCUUUGCUACCUUUGCUUAGAACCAUUUAGUGUGCCGGUUAACCACACACGCUCCACUAACGUCUUCGCAAGGGCACAAAGUGUAAUUUCAUGGAAUUGCAUCAAUUCACUUUUGCCUAAGUAACUAAGAUUGGGAAUUUUAUGAAAACAUUUAGUUACUUUAAUAAUUCAUUAUACUUAUAAUGGAAGGUUUCGUCCUAUCCUACCCGUUCGGCUAACGACCCUCCACUAGUCAAGAGUGCGGUGGGUAAGAGUGGAUACCCAUUCAAUCGCCAUUUUAUAGGCAAUUUCCUUAAACACCCCUUAUAGACCAGCUUCGUGAAUGAGGCCUACUAACGGUAAGACUGACUUUUACUCAUACAUAUAUAUAAUGUUAGACUUUUAAUGUUAUAUAUAGUAUAGGGUGUAUUUUAUACUUUUAAAAUACUAGGUGGUCUAAUUUAACAAUUAUACUUUUAAUUCAAUUAAAUUGUAAACCUAAACUUUUAUGGAUUUAUUAAACCUCUUUUAAUUAUACACCUUAAUUAAUUAAUAAAACCAUAAGGGUGUGAUUUGAACUUUUUCAAAACUAUACUAGAGUUUUAGAAUUUAACAUUCCUAAUUAAACUUUUAAUCAACUUUUAAAUUCCAAAACUUGAGGGCAAGUUUUGAAACAUUUCAACACAUUAGGGUUUAGAAUUUAAAUAUGCAUCAAAAUUAAACUAUUUAAUCAAAAUUUAAAUUCCAAAACUUGAGGGCAAGUUUUGAAACCUUUUUCAAAACAUUAGGGUUUCAACUAUUUAAAUUUCAAAACAACAAAACUUUUGGGGUUCAAAUUUAAACUAUAAAACCUAAAGGGCCAAAUAUGAAACUUUUCACAACAACAAGGAUCAAAUAACAAAUAAUUCAAAUUAACAUUUAAUCACAUAAUUAUCCAUAUUUGAUGAUUUCUUGCAAAAUAAUUUAUCAAUUUACUUAAAAUAAUUAAUCAAUUAUCUUAUAAGGAAACAAUUAUCUUAUUAAUUGAUAAAUAUCUUCAAUUAGAUUAAAAAUAUAGUCAAAUAUAUCAUAUAAUCGGAUUAAUAUUAAUCUAACAUGAUAAGGUAAUUAUCCCAAUGCAAAAACAGCAAGAAAUCCCGAGAUAAGCACUGUCUGACGCACCGACUCGCCGAGUCACCCUCUGGAACUCGCCGAGUAGGGCUGACUCGCCGAGUCCAAGAGUGACUCGCCGAGUCAGGUCGAACAGUGAGGCCAAAACACGAUUUUCAGUUACAUCAAGCAUCAAUACAAUAGAAACCAAUCAUGGCUCUGAUACCACUGAUGGGUUUUGGUCAUAAGACAUCCUAUGUGCUCAUACAAACCCUAAAGCUUGGAUCUAGGUUUCUCUAUUGUACAUACUUUGAAUCCAAGACUUUGAACCCUAAUUCUAGCAUAUGGAAAUCAGAAUUCACAUGUAAUUAGGUUUAAGAACAUACCUUGAUUGUUAUAUAGCAAUAACAAUCCAAUUCCUCCUUGAAUUGACCUUGGAAAGCUGAGAGUCACAAGUGUCACUCCUCUAAUGGCUUACAAACACCAUAAGCAAGUGGAGAAGGUAUAAAGAGAGAGGAGGGAGGUUAGAAUUCGUCCUUAGGACCUCUUGGGAAGGGUUAGACGAAUUCCUAAGCCCUAGGGGGUUUAUAUAGGUGUAAAGAUUAGGGUUUUAGUCCUUAUCCUUAUCUAGUUGCUUGUCCACCAAGCAACCAUAAGAUAAGUCCUAGAAACCCUUAUCCUAGUCGAAUUCUAAGGGAUUUACACCUCAAAUUCGUUCACCAUAUAUAUAAGAUAAUCCUUACCUUAUUUUGUAACUAUCACAUAAUUACAAUUCAGCCCCUCUAGUUUAAUUAAUUACACUUGAUCACAAAAUUAAUUCUUAAUUAAUUAUUGACCAAUAUUAAUUAAACAAAUAUGAUUUCUCCUUUAAUAUAUUAUUCUUAUAACAUAUUAAUAAAUCAUAAUAACCUCUCUCUCUAUUUAUUUCUCCAAUCAAGUUGCUUUGGUGAAGGCAACCCAAAAGGACCAUGCACCAUCGGGUCAAGUACAUACCAAAAUAGUUAUGGACUUAGACACUAAUCCAACAGUCUCCCACUUGGAUAAGUCUAACAACUAUUCUGCGUAUGACUUCGGAUCCCGAUCUGCAAUCGUAGCUUUCCAAAGCCGCUGUCAACUCUGAUCAUAUCAGAUACGCGUGUCCUUAGAUAAGGGAUCAUAUAUUCCUCCAUUCUAGAUAUCAUAUGAGAUAUGAUUUCAAAUCAUUCUCUUUGUACUAUAUCUCGAUUUCCGAUUUAUGACGACUGACUAAUUGAACAAAUCAAAUUAGCCCUAGCCCGGCCGAGCAUUUACGUUUGUCAUCACUAAACCAUCGAGGGGCCCAAAGAUAUCGCUUUUAUCCUACUUUGGAUAAAAGGAACGGAUAAACUUUGAUACAAUGCUUGCUUGCACUCACUCACCGAAUCACACACAACAAUAUGUUUUAUAACACCAAGUUACUAGUGCGUUUACAUAUUAUCAAUGUGCAACCGAUUUGCAAGAUACAACUCACACAUCUCGGUUUCAAGAAUAUAAGAUGUUAUCGUCUCACCAAUCACUCGUGAUACAAUUCAUGGAGUGAUCCAAGUGAGCGUGGGUUUAAUCCAAUGCUCAAAUCACAUUCAUAAGCACUCAUGAACGUUGCAGCAAACAUUUGCUUAUGUCUAAUACUCUUUUAGACAAUCCACACACCAAUUCACGACAGUCUUCAUUCAUAUCUACUUCCAACAUAUGAACGACUGUGGCCCGUUUGAAUAAUUCGAUUAUUCUUAAUAAACUCAAUUAUUCUGGAAGUCAAAACAUGCAAAUGUGAAACACAAGAAUAAUACUAAUCCCAUAUGGCCUCAAACCUUUGAGUAUAAAUAAAACACCUUUUAUUUAUCACCAUAUUGAUUACUCAUUAUUUGUCGUUUCGGGUAAUCAACUUCUUACUUGAAUUCCAACACUUGUCCCAUGCUCCUAGCAUGCACACAAUGUUUACCUAUGGUUCUUACUUUGUGAAAUAGAUCACAUUGAACACAUUUCCAAUCCUUCUCAUUUCACAACUCCAAAUCCGUUUUUCAUAAGUCAAAGAAUAUCAAAUUCUUGCUACUUAUAGAAUAUGCUAGAUUCUAACAUUCUAUGCAACUAUCCUUUCGUAAUGUCACUGCACCAAAGUCACAAAGACUAUUGCCAAUGAUAUUACAAAGUCCUCUAUCGGAGAUUGUUACAAGACAAUUCCAUAGACGUGAUGUCUCUCACUCAAAGUACAUUCUUUGAACAUCCUUUUGCAUAGAAGUUUCUAAUCUAGUCAUAGAUUUCUCAAUAUUCAAUUCCCAAUAUGGACACACUUCCAUAUGUUCCAUAUGACAACUCAUUCUUAAUAGAAUCUUAUCUAUUCGUAAUGAUGUCGAUAUGGUCCAUCCAAUAUGGAAACAUUUCCAUAUUUUCCAAUACUAUACUUCCAACUACUCACAAGCGACCAAUCCUCGUCGAACUUUGGAUUGUCCUUUGAUAGUUGUUUAAUU